RNAcentral lists this unclassified non-coding RNA (255 nucleotides) under Ascomycota sp. Its description in RNAcentral is "partial contains small subunit ribosomal RNA, internal transcribed spacer 1, and 5.8S ribosomal RNA". The stretch from base 1 to 47 matches the Rfam family "Eukaryotic small subunit ribosomal RNA", at positions 1785 to 1831 of the family's 1831-position model. The record is from RNAcentral. Lineage: Eukaryota; Fungi; Ascomycota.
AAAGUCGUAACAAGGUCUCCGUUGGUGAACCAGCGGAGGGAUCAUUACAGAGUUAUCAAAACUCCCAAACCCAUGUGAACAUACCUCGCGUUGCCUCGGCAGGUGGCGCCCCGCCCUGUGAGGACCUACCCUGUAGGAGCUCACCCGGUGGUCGCCCCUGCCGACGGCCCACGAAACUCUGUUUUUUAUAGCAUUAGACCUCUGAAAAGAUAACUAAAUAAGUUAAAACUUUCAACAACGGAUCUCUUGGUUCUG